Long non-coding RNA from Triplophysa rosa, 514 nucleotides. RefSeq lists it as uncharacterized. The record is from RefSeq and is a predicted model, not a curated record. The transcript has 4 exons. NCBI's taxonomy places the organism in Eukaryota, Metazoa, Chordata, Actinopteri, Cypriniformes, Nemacheilidae.
GCAGGACCAUGUAAAGCCAGACCCACGAAUGUUCGGCAGUCUCUAUGCGAACCACCAUCUCAGCUCUGCCUUCUCCUCCCUCUCUCACUAAGCGGGGAAAGAAACACAGGUUUUUCAGGAGUGAUACUCACACAGACUGCAGUGCUGAGCAGAGGCAUGUGAAAGAUCUUGGGGAUGUAGGAAGCUAUACCAGGAUUGGGCCCGAAGAGUCUCCACAUUCACACCCAAAUAAACGUUUACGCUGAAAGUUGAUAAAGAGAAUCAAGGUCUUCAUUCUGCCUCUUGAAAGAAAGGAGCUAACCUGUCGCCUAGCAACACCUCCUACUCCUGCUGGAGCUAGUAAGAGAGAGAAGAACAGGAUGGAUGGAAGCUGUCUGUGAAACUGAUGAGGCUGAUGGAGAGCGGAUGUGAAAAGUGUUAUAGGCUCCAGGAUAGACGAUGGUUGCCUGGAUCUGAAAGAUAUCUGAGGGAACAGAGCGUUCGGAGGUGAUACUCAUGUGGCGAUGCACAACGG